Oncorhynchus tshawytscha (Chinook salmon) is the source of this 1308-nucleotide long non-coding RNA. The record is from Ensembl. NCBI's taxonomy places the organism in Eukaryota, Metazoa, Chordata, Actinopteri, Salmoniformes, Salmonidae.
ACAUAAUGAAACCAGACUGACAGGCCCAGUCCAGAACCACAACGAUAUGGCCAGGGAGACAUAAUGAAACCAGACUGACAGGCCCAGUCCAGAACCACAACGAUACGGCCGGUAACAUAAUGAAACCAGACUGACAGGCCCAGUCCAGAACCACAACGAUACGGCCGGUAACAUAAUGAAACCAGACUGACAGGCCCAGUCCAGAACCACAACGACGGUGUCAUAAUGAAAGCACCAACAUAUCCGUAUCAAACAGGAGAGAUUCCAGUGUAAAUAGAUGUAGUGUCUGUGACGAUAGUCCAGGGUUAUGGACCAGCAGCCCCAGCCAGGCUCAGCAACACUAAACCCUCAGAACAAACAGCAGACCACAGUCGUAACCUAACUGGAGAGAGCAAAGUGGCCACAUUCUUAUCAUGCUCUGGUCAAUUCAGCCCUUCUGCACAUUCCUGUGCUGCUAUGGGGAAAGGAGUGGCACGUGGCCAGGGUAUUAGUGGGAAGUGGGGACAGACGGGACAGGCAGGCCUGGGCAUUAGGGCUUUAGUGGGGACAGACAGGACAGCCAGGCCAGGGCAUUAGGGCUUUAGUGGGGACAGACAGGCCAGGCAGGCCAAGGUAUUAGUGGGAAGUGGGGACAGACAGGACAGGCAGGCUUGGGCAUUAGGGAUUUAAUGGGGACAGCCAGGCCAGGGCAUUAGGGCUUUAGUGGGGACAGACAUGCCAGGGCAUUAGGGCUUUAGUGGGGACAGACAUGCCAGGGCAUUAGUGGGGACAGACAGGAUAGGCAGGCCAGGGCAUUAGUGGAAAGUGGGGACAGUCAGGACAGCCAGGCCAUUAGGGCUUUAGUGGGGACAGACAGGACAGCCAGGCAUUAGGGCUUUAGUGGGGACAGACAGGCCAGGCAGGCCAGGGCAUUAGUGGAAAGUGGGGACAGUCAGGACAGCCAGGCCAUUCGGGCUUUAGUGGGGACAGACAGGAUAGGCAGGCCAGGGCAUUAGUGGAAAGUGGGGACAGACAGGACAGCCAGGCCAUUAGGGAUUUAGUGGGGACAGACAGGCCAGGGCAUUAGUGGAAAGUGGGGACAGUCGGGACAGCCAGGCCAUUAGGGAUUUAGUGGGGACAGACAGGCCAGGCAGGCCAGGGCAUUAGUGGAAAGUGGGGACAGUCAGGACAGCCAGGCCAUUAGGGAUUUAGUGGGGACAGCCAGGACAGGCAGGAAAACCUGUUUGGGAUAGGGGGCAGCAUUUUCACUUUCAGAUGAAAAGCCCAGAGUAAACUGCCUAAGGCUUCCACUAGAUGUCAACAGUCUUU